Molecule: ribosomal RNA, 492 nt
Filed under: uncultured bacterium
Lineage: Bacteria
Description: partial 16S ribosomal RNA
Rfam family: Bacterial small subunit ribosomal RNA
Source: RNAcentral
AGUGAACGCUGGCGGUAGGCCUAACACAUGCAAGUCGAACGGCAGCACAGUAAGAGCUUGCUCUUACGGGUGGCGAGUGGCGGACGGGUGAGGAAUACAUCGGAAUCUACUUUUUCGUGGGGGAUAACGUAGGGAAACUUACGCUAAUACCGCAUACGACCUACGGGUGAAAGCAGGGGAUCUUCGGACCUUGCGCGAUUGAAUGAGCCGAUGUCGGAUUAGCUAGUUGGCGGGGUAAAGGCCCACCAAGGCGACGAUCCGUAGCUGGUCUGAGAGGAUGAUCAGGCACACCUGAACUUAGAAACGGUCCAGACUCCUACGGGAGGCAGCCGUGGGGAAUUUUGGACAAUGGGCGGAAGCCUGGUCCAGCCAUACCGCGUGGGUGAAGAAGGCCUUCGGGUUGUAAAGCCCUUUUGUUGGGAAAGAAAAGCGGCAGGUUAAUACCCCGCUGUUCUGACGGUACCCAAAGAAUAAGCACCGGCUAACUUCGUG